Molecule: ribosomal RNA, 273 nt
Filed under: uncultured bacterium
Lineage: Bacteria
Description: partial 16S ribosomal RNA
Rfam family: Bacterial small subunit ribosomal RNA
Source: RNAcentral
UACAGAGGUGGCAAGCGUUGUUCGGAUUUAUUGGGCGUAAAGGGUCCGUAGGCGGUUUGGAAAGUCAGAUGUGAAAUCCCACAGCUCAACUGUGGAACUGCAUUUGAAACUUCCAGACUAGAGUAUGAGAGGGGUUAAGGGAAUUCCCGGUGUAAGGGUGAAAUCUGCAGAGAUCGGGAGGAACACCAGUCGCGAAGGCGCUUAACUGGCUCAUUACUGACGCUCAGGGACGAAAGCUAGGGUAGCAAACGGGAUUAGAAACCCCGGUAGUCC